CGCUUCUUGGGGUAAGGGGCGCCUCCUUCAACCCCAUUUCACAUGUCUCAUCUCCGCGGAUUAGAGUUGGAGAGGGGGAUGCCCACUUGUGGGUUCUUGGUGCAAUCGAACACUGACUUGGUGAUGCGUUCCGAGACUGCGCGUGCGUCACGUUUAGAAGGAAGGGCUGUUUACCUCUUAGCUUGCUUGGAAUUUUCUCCAGCAGAAUACGCAGUCUGCAAAACCAGAAUCAAUACUUAAAUUUCUUCUAUCCCAUUGCCUGCGAAAAUUCCACUGCACACACUUUGAGCCACCUCUUUGUCGGCAUUCGGAAUUGGUUGUUGUUUGAGAGGGCAUCCUUUGCAAUUGAGUGGAACCUUUAAGGGUUUCCGGUGAUGAUCGUAUUUCAUUAAAAGAGCUUUUGGUCUGCUCUGGUUUUUAUGAGCAAAGCUGAUGAAGAGAUUAUAUCUUUUCACGAGUUUUGUAUUUGUGCCAGCAUUUGAAUGUUUGUACCCAGAAAUGAAGUACUAGCCACGUGUUUUUUCAAAAUUUACUGAGGAUGAUAUUACAAGGUAAUCUCAAGCAGAAGUAAAUUCUCAACUUCUUGUAACUUUUUAUCGAAGACUAUGCAAAGUGGCGUGCCGGCACAGGCACAU
Molecule: non-coding RNA, 635 nt
Organism: Physcomitrium patens
Lineage: Eukaryota; Viridiplantae; Streptophyta; Bryopsida; Funariales; Funariaceae
Source: RefSeq, a predicted model, not a curated record